This 497-nucleotide ribosomal RNA is filed under the name uncultured bacterium. RNAcentral's name for it is "partial 16S ribosomal RNA". It matches the Rfam family "Bacterial small subunit ribosomal RNA", at positions 28 to 507 of the family's 1533-position model. The record is from RNAcentral.
GAUGAACGCUGGCGGCGUGCCUAAUACAUGCAAGUCGAGCGAACUGACGAGAAGCUGGCUUCUCUGAUGUUAGCGGCGGACGGGUGUGUAACACGUGGAUAACCUACCUAUAAGACUGGGAUAACUUCGGGAAACCGGGGCUACUACCGGAUGAUAUUCUGAACCGCAUGGUUCAAAAGUUAAAGACGGUCUUGCUGUCACUGAUAGAUGGAUCCGCUCUGCAUUAGCUAGUUGGUAAGGUAACGGCUUACCAAGGCAACGAUGCAUUGCCGACCUGAGAGGGUGAUAGGCCACACUGGAACUGAGACACGGUCCAGACUACGACGAGAGGCAGCAGCAGGGAAUCUUCCGCAAUGGGCGAAAGCCUGAAGGAGCAACCCCGCGCGAGUGAUGAAGGUCUCCGCAUCGUAAAACUAUGUUAUUAGGGAAGAACAUAUGUGUAAGUAACUGUGCACAUCUGAACGGUACCUAAUCAGAAAGCAACGGCUAACUACGUG